GAUGAACGCUGGCGGCGUGCCUAAUACAUGCAAGUCGAGCGAACGGACGAGAAGCUUGCUUCUCUGAUGUUAGCGGCGGGCGGGUGAGUAACACGUGGAUAACCUACCUAUAAGACUGGGAUAACUUCGGGAAACCGGAGCUAAUACCGGAUGAUAUUUUGAACCGCAUGGUUCAAAAGUGAAAGACGGUCUUGCUGUCACUUAUAGAUGGAUCCGCGCUGCAUUAGCUAGUUGGUAAGGUAACGGCUUACCAAGGCAACGAUGCAUAGCCGACCUGAGAGGGUGAUCGGCCACACUGGAACUGAGACACGGUCCAGACUCCUACGGGAGGCAGCAGUAGGGAAUCUUCCGCAAUGGGCGAAAGCCUGACGGAGCAACGCCGCGUGAGUGAUGAAGGUCUUCGGAUCGUAAAACUCUGUUAUUAGGGAAGAACAUAUGUGUAAGUAACUGUGCACAUCUCGACGGUACCUAAUCAGAAAGCCACGGCUAACUACGUG
This 497-nucleotide ribosomal RNA is filed under the name uncultured bacterium. RNAcentral describes it as "partial 16S ribosomal RNA". It matches the Rfam family "Bacterial small subunit ribosomal RNA", at positions 28 to 507 of the family's 1533-position model. The record is from RNAcentral.